GGGCUCCUGCGGCCUCCUGGGCACCAGAAGCAGACCACAGGGCAGUAAAAUGAGCCCCGCUUUGGAACCAGACAGAUGCGGGUUCAGAUUUACUUACCAGGCCCUGGGCGAGGCCCCAGCUUUCUGCGCGUUGGUUUUCUCAUCUGCAAAAUGGAGAGUUCUCGUUGGGCAGACGACAGACAGAGAUGCCUGAAGGCCAGGAGAUCAGGAAAGGGCUGCUGGCACUUCCCGGGGCCUGGCCACGUGGCCGCGGCCGCUGUGAUCAGCGGCAGGCCGGGGUCCCCACCACCAUGCUCCAGCGUGGGAGCCGCGCUGGGCCCACGCCCUUGCUCUGACAGCGGGCACCAGGGAUGCGCUGAGGCCGGGACAGAGGAGCAGCACAGGGUCUCCUGUCUCCGGGAGCUGCAGUCUUCCCUCGAGGACACCAGCCAAGGACACCAGCUGCAAGCUUACCCCAAAGGCUAUUACACCUCUCCCAAUCUAUGUCAUGAUAUAUUCAGAAAAGAUCUAGCCCAUGUGGACAUCCCAGAGAACUCUGUAUUGAUCCACUGCAUCAAUGACAUUAUGCUGAUUGGCGAGAACAAGCAAGAGGUGGCUAGCAUCUGAAAGCCUUGAUUUUGCUUAUCCGUGAGAGACACACAGAGAGAGAGAGGCAGAAACACAGUCAGAGGGAG
Molecule: long non-coding RNA, 674 nt
Organism: Canis lupus familiaris (dog)
Lineage: Eukaryota; Metazoa; Chordata; Mammalia; Carnivora; Canidae
Exons: 3
Source: RefSeq, a predicted model, not a curated record